This is an RNA transcript of Myotis davidii, 2392 nucleotides long. It is a transcript of the gene named transmembrane protein 246, with no coding region annotated. The record is from RefSeq and is a predicted model, not a curated record. The transcript has 2 exons. Lineage: Eukaryota; Metazoa; Chordata; Mammalia; Chiroptera; Vespertilionidae.
AUAAAUAUCCAAAUGGCCCUUGGCAGAAAAAGGUUUCCCCACCCAUGCUCAUUUCUAAUAGCUACACAACCUAGAACUGGAAUUUCGAGUUUGAUACACGCUGAGUUCUGUCCCUUUACCAUUCUCUUCCUCCUCUUUCUUUAGGUUUGACUUGCACUGAAUUGGGCCUACAGUCCAGGAUGGUUUGUUCUCGGGACCAGACCUGACCAGAAGUUGACCUCAUGAGCACAUCCGCCUCCCCCGCGGCCAUGCUCCUCCGGAGGCUGAGGCGGCUCUCCUGGGGCAGCACAGCUGUCCAGCUCUUCAUCUUGACCGUGGUGACGUUCGGCCUGCUGGCCCCCCUGGCCUGUCACCGGCUUCUACACUCGUACUUCUACCUUCGCCAUUGGCAUCUGAACCAAAUGAGCCAAGAUUACCUGCAACAAAGCUUGAAAGAGGGUGAAGCUGCCCUCCACUACUUUGAGGAGCUGCCCUCCGCCAACGGCUCAGUGCCCAUCGUCUGGCAGGCCACCCCCCGCCCCUGGCUGGUCAUCACCAUCGUCACCGUGGACAGGCAGCCUGGCUUCCACUAUGUCUUGCAGGUGGUGUCCCAGUUCCACCGGCUGCUUCAACAGUGCGGCCCCCAGUGCGAGGGGCACCAGCUCUUCCUGUGCAAUGUGGAGCGCAGCGUGAGCCAUGUGGAUGCCAAGCUGCUGUCCAAGUACGUCCCCGUGGCCAACCGCUAUGAGGGCACUGAGGAUGAUUACGGCGACGACCCUUCGACCAACUCGUUUGAGAAAGAGAAGCAGGACUACGUCUAUUGCCUGGAGUCCUCCCUGCAGACCUACAACCCGGACUACGUCCUGAUGGUGGAAGACGACGCCAUUCCAGAAGAGCAGAUCUUCCCCGUCUUGGAGCACCUUCUGCGGGCUCGCUUCUCCGAGCCCCACCUCAGAGAUGCCCUUUAUCUAAAGCUCUAUCACCCCGAGAGGCUCCAGCACUACAUCAACCCAGAGCCCAUGCGGAUCCUGGAGUGGAUCGGUGUGGGCAUGGUGCUGGGGCCCAUCCUAACCUGGAUAUACAUGCGGUUUGCCAGCCGUCCGGGCUUCAGCUGGCCCGUCCUGCUCUUCUUCUCCCUGUACAGCAUGGGCCUGGUGGAACUGGUGGGCAGGCACUAUUUCCUGGAACUGCGGCGGCUGAGCCCUUCCCUGUACAGUGUGGUCCCUGCUUCGGAGUGUUGCACCCCAGCCAUGCUCUUCCCUGCCCCUGCGGCCCGCCGGACCCUCACCUACCUGUCCCAGGUGUACUGCCACCAGGGCUUUGGCAAGGACAUGGCCCUGUACUCACUGUUGAGGGCCAAGGGGGAGCGGGCCUAUGUGGUGGAACCCAACCUUGUGAAACACAUCGGGCUCUUCUCCAGCCUGCGGUACAACUUUCACCCCAGUCUGCUCUAGUCGGCCAAGAAAUGCUUUCCUGGAAUCGGCUGCUUCUUGGAGAUUCAAAUACUGAGCGUUUUAUUUAGUUAGACACGGUCGCUUGCAGAUACUUCGUUGUUUAACAUUGCUGAGGAUAGAGGCACUGGGACAGCAGAGGAAAAGACCAGUCAAGAACCUAGGCAGGAGCAGCAGUUGGCCACAGAUCCGGACCUCUGUCCCGCCACACAGCCACACUGCCUCAUGCAGUCUGACCCACCCAAUGAGGGGGCGUGAAAAUACCGGUUACAUUCUCCAGUUGUUUUCAGCUCUGCUUCGUGAUAGAGAUUGGGACUCCCCAAAAUACCGUGCACAGUGAUAUGACUGUUUAAGGAUGUUAAGGGUAGAACUUAGUGAAAGGUAGCAUGAGAAAACAUGGACUAUGAAAUCAGAAGACGCUGCAUUUUUUGUUGUUUUCAGAUUUCUCUCAUGUCCUGGUGGUGUGAACUUGGCCAAGUCAUAACCACUCUGAGUCUCAGUAUCUUCACCUGUAAAAUGAGGACAGUGGUACCUACCUUUUAAAGUUGCCUUGAGACUGUAUGUAAGACACCUUAUAAGUGCUCAGCCCGGAGAGGGCACAGGGUAAAUUCUAGUUCUUUUCUCCCCUGUAGUAAGUAUAUACAACUCAAAUGUAUUUGGAGGGAACGCAGCUUGGCCCCCACCUCCAACCAAGGUAAUUUUUCAUUCAAACUGGAAGCGAUCUGAGACACCUCUUGAACUUAUUCCAGGACUAUCAUCUGAAAAUUACUUUUCUCGAGAAUUACAAGUAAAUGGCCUUGGAUGAUACUUAUGGGACCAGUGGAAAACAUGUCCCUUCCUGAGGACAGAUGGUUACAUGAGAGUUCACACAGUUGUCCAGUCUGUUUCACUGCCACAUCUUCUGUUUGCAUUUACAUUUCCACAGGGAGUUUCCAUGUGGGGAUCCCCUUAAGAACAGGGAG